This 254-nucleotide ribosomal RNA is filed under the name uncultured bacterium. RNAcentral describes it as "partial 16S ribosomal RNA". It matches the Rfam family "Bacterial small subunit ribosomal RNA", at positions 524 to 776 of the family's 1533-position model. The record is from RNAcentral.
UACGAAGGGGGCUAGCGUUGUUCGGAAUUACUGGGCGUAAAGCGCGCGUAGGCGGCUUGGCAAGUCGAUGGUGAAAGCCCGGAGCUCAACUCCGGAAUGGCCAUUGAAACUGCUUGGCUUCGAGUGCGGGAGAGGUGAGUGGAAUUCCCAGUGUAGAGGUGAAAUUCGUAGAUAUUGGGAAGAACACCGGUGGCGAAGGCGGCUCACUGGCCCGUUACUGACGCUCAGGCGCGACAGCGUGGGGAUCAAACAGG